This 5487-nucleotide long non-coding RNA is filed under the name Capsella rubella. RNAcentral's name for it is "long non-coding RNA (CRUB_LNC003194)". The record is from RNAcentral. Lineage: Eukaryota; Viridiplantae; Streptophyta; Magnoliopsida; Brassicales; Brassicaceae.
UUGAGAUUGGGUAGUUGGGAUAUCGUGGAAUAAAUAGAAAACUACUUUAAUCUCAUCUUAAUUUGAUAUCGUCUCCUUCGUUUUUUUUGUUUCCAAUUUCUCUGUCUGAUUCUUUUAUACGAAAUUUUCAGUUUUUAUCGAAGUUUAUUGAGUACCCAUGAUUCAAAGUUUCAAUUUUUAUGCGAAUGAUUCCUCAAUUUGAUGUUCUGUUGAUUUCUAGGGUUUGUGUGAGUUUGGGUGUUCUUGUGUAAUCGUUUUGAUGGGUCUUUAGUGAUGAUUUUGCACGUAUUGUUUUGAGGAUUUGUAUAGACUUCCAAUGCAUAUUGAAAGGACUUUGCUUUUUUGAAGGGUGAGUUUGAUAGGUUGAGUUUGAUAGGUUGCGCAUUCCGUUAGCUUUUAUGAAGAAGAAGAACAGAUCAGUAGGGAGAAGAGCUAAGGUGGGAGUUAAAAGUGGCUAAGAAGAAGUUAAAAGAAGAAGGAGUGCCUCCGCUUCUAAGAGAGGGUUUCUAUGAUUCAAUAAUGAGUAAUGUUAUGUCGUUUUACAAUUCUCCUAAUGUUUCCCUAAACUAUGAUAUAUUUAAAGGAUGAUCCCAUCUUAGGGUAUCCUUAUCUUAUAAAUGAACAGUAAUUUCCAUCUCUUUCCUUAAACGGCUGAAAGGUCUAUUCUAUCUCUUAAUCUUAUCUUAUUUCUCUUCUUCUCUUAUCUUCCUCACUCUCGACUUAACAAAUUGGUGCUUUCAUUGAGAGCUAUGGCGUCAACCCCACCACUUCCAGAUCAACGCACUAAUCGAUCUGAACUCGAGUCUCAUGCGUCUGACACACCACUUCCGACGGAGACGCAAGAACAGAUCAUGGCGCGUCACGACAAGGACAUCCAGUGGAUGCGCGAAUCGAUUAACUAUUUGGUGGAGUCGAUGCGGUCCUUUCGUCCACUUGAGAGCCGUUCCACAACACCGGUGGGUUUCUCGACUCCGGUUUCCGGGACGAACAACCACGUUCCGGUGACACCAACGCCGGUGACACCAGCGCCUGUCGUUGAAGAGCAGACUCGACAGGAGCGCACCAUGCCCUUUCCUCCCCAACGACCGUCGGAUGGCUUGCUUCCGUCGCCGGUCCUACCGCAGCGAGUCGAAUUGCCCCGCCAGAUGGGGGAGAUGACUUUUAAGCGUGUCGAUCUACCGUCGUGUGAUGGCACAAACCAAGACGAUUGGCUGUUUCGAGCAGAGAGGGUCUUCGCGAUGAACCAGACCCAUGAGUUUGAAAAGCUAGAUCUUGCCGUGGCUAGUCUCGUCGGAGCUGCAGUUACCUGGUGGCGCAACGUUCACGUGCAUCAUCAACUGGCAGAUCUUCAGAGAGAGGUUUCAGGUUCGAUUUAAACCAAGUCGUGGGAGUUCUUCUGUAGACCAUCUGAUGCAAAUCACCCAGACAGGUAGUGUGGAUGAUUAUAGAGGGCGAUUCGAGCAGUUAUCCGUGGAGUUACCUCAUGUCACUGAUGACGUGUUAGAAGCGGCUUUCCUUCGUGGACUGAAGCAAACAAUACAUGACCAAGUGUUGCGUUGCAGACCGAGGGAUUUAACAGAGAUUGUGGACUUUGCGAGACUCAUUGAAUCUCAGGAGAACGCAACCAAUACUUACCAAGCUAGACCUCCUCCGAGGCCAGCUCAGACACCGGUGUUCUCUCAGCCUAGCCGACCACCUAAUCAGUCUUAUUCCAGGAGUAAUGACUACAAGAAACCAUCGGGCAGUGGGGAAGCUCGCAAUUUUAACCCGUGAAGGCAAUGUGGUGAUAAAUGGUCUCCGGGUCAUAGGUGUAAACAGCGGUUUAAAUUGAUGGAGGUAGACGAUUGUGAGGAGUUUGAUGAUGCAUAUGAGGAUGAACAAGAGAUGCAGGAGAGAGAGAAUCAGAAAGCCAGCAAGCAAGAAGUGGUGACUCUGCAUUCUAUGGGUGGUAUUACAGCUGAGAAGUCCAUGAUGAUGAAGGGAAAGAUUGGCAACAGAGAAGUAGUCAUUCUGAUCGAUUCUGGGGCCACUUCUAACUUCAUGUCAGAAAGGGUAGUAGCGGAGUUGGGUCUAUCUGCCACAGCAACCAGAAAUGUUAGUGUCAGGCUUGCUAAUGGGCAGAUCAGCAAUAGCACAUGGAAAUGUUCUGGAGAGUUAUUGGAGGUACAAGGAGUGGAAAUCAUGGAAGAGUUUUUGUUGUUUGAUUUGGAUGACUUGGAUAUAGUGCUGGGAUAUACUUGGUUGGAAACCUUGGGGGAGACAAAAACCAACUGGAAGCUAUUCAGACUGAGUUGGAAGAUACGUGACAAAUGGGUAACUAUUAGAGGGGAUCCAAGCUUGGUGCAAAGGGCGGAUUUCACUCAGUGCAAUGAGGAGAGUAAUCCGCAGAAAGGGGGAAGUGUAUCUCCUGGAACUAAAGACCUUGUUUGAAGAAGAAGGACAAGUCGAAGAGCUGAAGGGACCUGUUGAGGUUCAACAACUUCUUACUCAGUUUCCAACAGUCUUCCAGACCCCACAGGGACUACCACCAGUGCGAAACAAAGAACAUGCGAUUACACUACAUGAGGGGACCUCACCGAUCAAUAUCAGGCCCUAUCGCUACUCUUUUGUCCAGAAAAACGAGAUAGAGAAGUUGGUUCAGGAAAUGUUGGAUGCAGGAAUUAUCAAGCCUAGUAUCAGCCCCUACUCCAGCCUUGUCCUGCUAGUGAAAAAGAAAGAUGGAGGCUGGAGAUUUUGAGUUGACUACAGGGCCCUGAAUCAAGUGACAAUUCCAGAUAGGUACCCCAUUCCCAUUAUAGAAGAGUUGUUAGACGAGUUGAAGGGAGCGACGAUCUUCUCUAAAAUCGAUCUCAAGUCCGGGUACCAUCAAAUCAGGGUAAAGGAAGGCGAUGUGGAGAAAACUGCUUUCAAGACACACCAAGGACACUAUGAAUUCUUGGUCAUGCCAUUCGGAUUGACUAACGCUCCGUCAACCUUUCAAUCCAUCAUGAAUGACCUAUUCAGACCCUAUUUAAGGAGGUUUGUGCUGGUGUUUUUCGACGAUAUUUUGGUCUAUAGCCCUGAUUUGGAGACGCACAUUCACCACUUAAGGCUGGUAUUGGAGAUUAUGAGCAAGCAACACUUCUAUGCCAACAAAAAGAAAUGUUCAUUUGGUAGUAAGCGAAUAGCUUACUUAGGGCACAUCAUUUCAGGUGAAGGAGUUGCUGCAGACCCUGACAAGAUCAAAGCUAUGGUGAAAUGGCCAGUUCCUCAGAGCGUGACUGAACUAAGAGGGUUCUUGGGGCUGAUUGGUUAUUAUAGGAAAUUUGUGCGUAAUUAUGGACAGAUCGCAAGACCUCUCACUGACCUUCUCAAGAAAAAUGGGUUCUGUUGGUCCACUGCAGCAGAGGAGGCGUUCCAAGAAUUGAAAGGAGCAGUGACUAGUCUCCCAGUGCUGAAGUUACCAGACUUUGAUCAGGAGUUCACAGUGGAGACUGAUGCUUCAGGGCUGGGGAUUGGAGCAGUUUUAUCUCAAGGUAAGCGACCUAUUGCCUUCUUGAGUCAAGCCUUUUCAUCAUCAGGCCGAAUCAAAUCUGUGUAUGAGAGGGAGCUCCUUGCCAUAGUUAAGGCGGUUACUAAGUGGAAGCACUACUUAGCGGGGAAGGAGUUUGUUAUUAAAACAGAUCAAAGUAGUCUCAAGCAUUUGUUGGAUCAAAAAGGGGUCUCCUCAGUCCAGCAACGAUGGGCAUCAAAGUUGAUAGGUCUCAAAUACCGGAUAGAGUACAAGCCAGGAGUUGAGAAUCGGGUGGCGGAUGCUCUAUCCAGAAGACCGCAUGAUGAGAAGCUCAGCCUGAUAAGCGCACAUUCACCAUUAAAUUUUGAUAAGGAGGAGUUAGCAAGUCAGCUGAGAAAAGAUGUUGAGUUAGCAGCCAUAAUCAAGGAUUGUGAAACGAGGCAACCAAACCAACAGGGGUACAUCAUGGAAGGAGGGUUGCUUUACAAGGAAGGGCGGUUGGUAAUUCCUCAGGGAUCUCCCAUCAUUCAGACCUUGCUGGAACAGUUCCAUAACAGUGCAGUUGGGGGUCAUGAAGGGGCCUUGAAGACUUAUAAAAGGUUAUCAUAAGAGGUGUUUUGGAAAGGAAUGAGGAGAGAUGUGACAAAGUACAUCAUUAAGUGUCAGAUCUGCCAAGAAAAUAAGCAGGCCACACUGUCUCCCGCAGGGUUGCUCUCACCCCUACCAAUACCGCCAUAGAUUUAGUCCCACAUAAGCAUGGAUUUCAUAGAAGGGUUGCCACCUUCUAAAGGGUUCACGGUGAUACUGGUAGUAGUGGAUCGCCUAAGUAAGUAUGGGCAUUUCAUUUCGCUGAAGCAUCCUUUCACUGCAAGAACUGUGGCUAAAUCAUUCAUCAAGGAGGUGGUAAGACAUCAUGGCUUCCCAGAGAACAUAGUCUCCGACAGAGAUAAAGUGUUCAUAAGCAGUUUUUGGACAGAAUUAUUCAAGAGCCAGGGAACCACUCUCCACAAGAGUUCAGCCUACCAUCCGCAAACUGAUGGGCAGAUAGAGGUAGUCAACCGGUGUUUGGAAACAUACUUGAUAGCAGGAAGCCAGCAACUUGGGUUCAAUGGCCACCCAGGGCUGUAUAUUGGUAUAAUUCUUCUUACCACUCCACCAUCAAGACCACCCCUUUCUUUGCUGUGUAUGGAAGAGAACCUCCUAAGAUUUUACGAUAUGGGGAUGUGCCAACAGCAAAUGUAAUAGUAGAAGAACUGCUAAAGGACAGAGAUAGUUUGUUGGUAGAGUUAAAAGAGAACAUGGAACUCGCUCAGACUAUGAUGCAGAAAUCCGCCAACAAACAUAGAAGAGAUGUAGAAUUUAAGGUCGGUAAUUGGGUGUACUUGAAGCUGCGACCUUAUAGGCAGAACUCAGUGGUUAACAGAAGGAAUGAGAAGUUAGCACAGAGGUACUUUGGCCCUUAUCAGAUCCUGGAACGCAGAGGGAAGGUAGCUUACAAGCUUCAGCUACCUCUUUACAGUCAGAUACAUCCUAUAUUUCAUGUCUCUCAGCUUAAAGCUGUUGUUCCUUCUGGACGACAAGCUCAGGAGAUCCCAGCCAUCCUGUCUCCUACUUUAGAAUGGGCAGUAGAACCUGAAAAGAUACUUGAUGUGCGUCGCCCUCCUCAGGGAAAUGAAACAGAGGUCAGAAUCCAGUGGAAAGGCUUACCUGAAUUUGAGUCUACUUGGGAACCAGUCACAGUGAUAAUGGAUCAGUUUCCGGAUUUCGACCUUGAGGACAAGGUCAGUUCUCUAACCGGGGGUAUUGAUAGGUUGCGCAUUCUGUUAGCUUUUAUGAAGAAGAAGAACAGAUCAGUAGGGAGAAGAGCUAAGGUGGGAGUUAAAAGUGGCUAAGAAGAAGUUAAAAGAAGAAGGAGUGCCUCCGCUUCUAAGAGAGGGUUUCUGUGAUUCAAUAAUGAGUAAUGUUAUGUCGUUUUACAAUUCUCCUAAUGUUGC